UUUUAAACAAAGAAUGUGUUUAAUAUUGAUUACCCAGUAAAUAAGGCAGAUUCAGAGACAUACAUCCGGAAGUUUGAGGAUAUAUAUGGUAUAAUCUGCACAGAAAAGAACGGAGAUGUACUUUGUUCCGAAUUUAAUUACAUUUUUUACCUUGUGUUGUAUGUGUAUAAUGGUGGAAACUCUUCCAGGAGACUGCAAUUUUAAUACUGAUCUUUGUACCUGGAGAAAUGACGAUCAUGAUACAAUGGAAUGGAGACUUAACCGUGGACCGACUACAACCGGUGGGACGGGUCCAUUUUCUGACCACACUAGUCCAGGUAA
Molecule: long non-coding RNA, 321 nt
Organism: Mytilus trossulus (common blue mussel)
Lineage: Eukaryota; Metazoa; Mollusca; Bivalvia; Mytilida; Mytilidae
Exons: 3
Source: RefSeq, a predicted model, not a curated record